AGAAUCAACGCUGGCGGCGUGCCUAACACAUGCAAGUCGCACGAGAAAGGGGAUUCGUCCCUGAGUAAAGUGGCGCACGGGUGAGUAACACGUGAAUUAUCUACCUCCGAGUGGGGAAUAACUGAGAGAAAUCUUAGCUAAUACCGCAUAAUACCCACGGGUCAAAGCAGCAAUGCGCUUGGAGAGGAGUUCGCGGCCGAUUAGCUAGUUGGCGGGGUAAUGGCCCACCAAGGCGAUGAUCGGUA
Molecule: ribosomal RNA, 245 nt
Filed under: uncultured bacterium
Lineage: Bacteria
Description: partial small subunit ribosomal RNA
Rfam family: Bacterial small subunit ribosomal RNA
Source: RNAcentral